GACGAACGCUGGCGGCGUGCUUAACACAUGCGAGUCGAACGGAAAGGCCCUGCUUUUGUGGGGUGCUCGAGUGGCGAACGGGUGAGUAACACGUGAGUAACCUGCCCUUGACUUUGGGAUAACUUCAGGAAACUGGGGCUAAUACCGGAUAGGAGCUCCUGCUGCAUGGUGGGGGUUGGAAAGUUUCGGCGGUUGGGGAUGGACUCGCGGCUUAUCAGCUUGUUGGUGGGGUAGUGGCUUACCAAGGCUUUGACGGGUAGCCGGCCUGAGAGGGUGACCGGCCACAUGGGGCCGGGGAAACGGCCCGGACCCCUAGGGGGGGCAGCGGGGGGGAAUUUUGCACAAGGGGGGGAGGCCUAUGGCGGCAACCCCGGGGGGGGGAUGAGGGCCUUCGGGUUGUAAACCGCUUUCGCCUUGGACGAGGCGGGGGUGACGGUAAUGGGAAAAGAAGCCCCGGCUAACUAGUU
Molecule: ribosomal RNA, 467 nt
Filed under: uncultured bacterium
Lineage: Bacteria
Description: partial 16S ribosomal RNA
Rfam family: Bacterial small subunit ribosomal RNA
Source: RNAcentral